Molecule: ribosomal RNA, 301 nt
Filed under: uncultured bacterium
Lineage: Bacteria
Description: partial 16S ribosomal RNA
Rfam family: Bacterial small subunit ribosomal RNA
Source: RNAcentral
CAGUAGCCGCGGUAAGACAGAGGAUGCAAGCGUUAUCCGGAAUGAUUGGGCGUAAAGCGUCUGUAGGUGGCUUUUCAAGUCCGCCGUCAAAUCCCAGGGCUCAACCCUGGACAGGCGGUGGAAACUACCAAGCUGGAGUACGGUAGGGGCAGAGGGAAUUUCCAGUGGAGCGGUGAAAUGCGUUGAGAUCGAAAAGAACACCAACAGCGAAAGCACUCUGCUGGGACGACACUGACACUAAGAGACGAAAGCUAGGGGAGCAAAUGGGAUUAGAUACCCCCGUAGUCCCUGUCUCUUAUAC